Long non-coding RNA from Neopsephotus bourkii (Bourke's parrot), 2581 nucleotides. RefSeq lists it as uncharacterized. The transcript is spliced from 3 exons. NCBI's taxonomy places the organism in Eukaryota, Metazoa, Chordata, Aves, Psittaciformes, Psittacidae. The record is from RefSeq and is a predicted model, not a curated record.
CAAUUUCUAAUAUUGUGUAAUACUAAAGUAAUAUCAUCUGUAGUAUGCAGAAAGAUUUCAAGUUUUGAAUAAUCUGAGAACCUAGAGAUUUCCUAAUACAGUUUGUACAAAGGAUUGCCCUUCCUGGAAAAGCUGUAGCUUGAAUACAGAUAAUAAAGUCAUCUGGAGAACAUCACCUGUCAUCAGCCAUUAAGAGAUGGGAUCGUGAUGGGAUGCUGUAGAUAAUCAGAAGAAAUAAGUUUUCAAGCGAUGCCAAAAAGAUGCCAAAAGCAAAAGGAUUUCAGCAGCUCCCUGCAACUGAUCAAGGAAAUAACUGGCUCAUAAUGUAUCUUGUAGAUUCAGAUUCUCACUAAGUGAAAGUACAGACUGAAGCAUGUCACCUGUAGCCUGCUGUGACUUCCUUUCAAGUUUUCUUUCUGUACUCAGCGGCUGGAAAUGAUUCCCUCAAGCUUUUACACCAGUCACUGAAUCUGAGCAAUGCUGAGCCCGCAGAAGGAUUUGUUCAAGGUAAGACUGGAACACUAAAUCACCUAAUUGAUUUCAUGCUUAUCACAUCCCCUUGAAUAUAGGGAACAUUUCUUGCUGCAGAGAUGAUGAAUUCACUCUAAUAAAGCAUUAUGUUCUGCAGUUUUUCAGAAAGUCAGGAUGAGCAACAGGAAGAUCUGAUAAGUUUGCCCCUUUUCUGGGAGAUUGCUUGUAAGUGUAGUUACACCUGACUCACAUGAUUGUGUGUGCAUCAUUUGAUGGCCUUUUAUUCUUUCCUGAAAAAAAUGUAAAUGAGAACUGCAUAGGACACAGUCCCUUAAUAAACCAAAGAAAUUAAAGAACAUAGCAUGCCUUCAAAAAGGAAUUCCUCAGCCCCUAAAGUAAUUUGAGAAACUGGAUGAGGUAAAUAAGAGAUUCACAGCAUUUUUGAAGUCCUGAUACUUCUGCAUUUCAUAUUGUUACAGAGUAAGUCUGACAUGGUUUUUGAGAAUAUAGCAAUAUUUCCUGUUCUUCAUCAUUCUGUUUAGCAAACAGUCUAACUUCUUGCUACCCCACUUUUAAGUUCCUUGUUCAUGCUAACACUCAGCUGACUGAAAAAAAAAGCUCUAUUUCUAGUAUAGGAGGAGAAGAAAACACAAGGCAAGGGCAAAAGGAAGGUGGGAGGAGAAACAAACUGAGCUGUUUGUUGUUGGGAUGGUAAGAGCUCCAAAGUAAGUAUGUAAUACAGAGGUGAAAGGCAGAAAAACAAAAGAAACUGUAGGAGGUACAUGGCAGAAGAGAAACAAAUGGAAGAAAAGUGGAGGGGAAAAGUGUAUAAACUGAAAACCAGAAAGAAAAUACUGUAAAAAUGCUCUAAUUGGAAGACGUUUCUGUAGGAGCUGGGCCUGUCAAAGAGGGACAGAAAGACAGGAUCAGACUGGGUCAUGAAAAUGUAAACAGCUUUGCUGGAAUUGAAGUGCAAAUGCUGCUUGCAUAGGUCUUAUCAUCCAAUGUAACAUUCUGCCUUGAAGGCAAAUGAAGUGUGGUCUAAACACCAUGGGUGUUCCUCCUCAUUGUCUGCUCACACAGCCCUUCUGUGCUUCUCACAGUCCCAAGCUGGCCUCAUUGCCUGGAUUCUUACUUAGCUACAUGGCGCAUCACAGUUUUUAAACAUGCACUUCUGGUGUUUCAGGCACAUGAUGUGUUUCACUAUAGUUCCUCCUCACAAUGUGGGUUAAACAGCAAGGCAUAUACUAGUUGCUCCCAUAAGGUCUUUUCGGCAUUUGCAAGGCUUUGCUUUUUUUAUUUUUUAUUUUCAUCACAGCUGAAUGCACAAUGCAAAGCAAUUGCUGUUCAAGUAAAAUAUAUUUCUGUACCUUGAAAAUAAAUAAUUUUGUCACAGUCCUGGAGGACAGUGCAUCCCACAUUACAUGUUGGUAGGUGAUCCUGAAUAUCUGAUUAUUAAGUUGUACAUCUCUAUGAGUAGCAUGUUGUAUAUAUUACAUACAAAUUGACUACAGCAUGGACAUUCUUCUGUUUUCUAGGACACAAAAGUAGGAAUGUUCCUCAGCUAACACAAUAUGUAAAAAGUACCGCUGUUCUAAUACAUUCAUGUUUUCAAACCCACCACAUUACAGAAUAGCACAGAUUGCCAAUAUAUUGUAUAACCACAGAUUGACUGAUAUAGCAGUGCCCCAAGUAAGACACAUCAUCUGUAAAGAGAAGAUUAAUGAGAUUAAGCCAUUUCUUCCCUAUUAAUACUUCUACAGAAAAGCUUAUUCUUUACUAUCUGAUAGUCUUCUGUAUUUGUGAUACCAAGUUCACUGCUAAUGUUCCCAUUGCUGCUAGCACUGAAUGAUCACAAUGAGUUCUUAGUUUGCUUGUUCAUGUGUUUUAUACCAUGUUCAUGCUGGUUUGGUAGGGUCUGGGUUCCUAGCAUCUUGCUCAAUUGUCAGAGGAGCGUACCUGCAAUACUAUUUUGAGUGGUUGCUUAUUUAUAUCUUCAAGACUGUUAACCCAACUGAUGCUUACAGCCAAGUUCUACAUCAUUCCUUGACUAUAAUGUUACCGAGUUUACCAAUUAAAAUUUAAGCCUGAUUAUAUUGUACUUGUCUUC